Molecule: ribosomal RNA, 492 nt
Filed under: uncultured bacterium
Lineage: Bacteria
Description: partial 16S ribosomal RNA
Rfam family: Bacterial small subunit ribosomal RNA
Source: RNAcentral
GAUGAACGCUAGCUACAGGCUUAACACAUGCAAGUCGAGGGGAAACGGCAUCGAAAGCUUGCUUUUGAUGGGCGUCGACCGGCGCACGGGUGAGUAACGCGUAUCCAACCUGCCCAUCACUUGGGAAUAACCUUGCGAAAGUAAGACUAAUGCCCAAUGACAUCCCACGAAGGCAUCCGAAUGGGAUUAAAGAUUUAUCGGUGAUGGAUGGGGAUGCGUCUGAUUAGCUUGUUGGCGGGGUGACGGCCCACCAAGGCAACGAUCAGUAGGGGUUCUGAGAGGAAGGUCCCCCACAUUGGAACUGAGACACGGUCCAAACUCCUACGGGAGGCAGCAGUGAGGAAUAUUGGUCAAUGGGCGAGAGCCUGAACCAGCCAAGUAGCGUGCAGGAUGACGGCCCUAUGGGUUGUAAACUGCUUUUAUAAGGGAAUAAAGUGGGUCAUGUGUGACUUUUUGCAUGUACCUUAUGAAUAAGGACCGGCUAAUUCCGUG